RNAcentral lists this transfer RNA (72 nucleotides) under Camelus bactrianus (Bactrian camel). It matches the Rfam family "tRNA". From Rfam's summary of the family: Transfer RNA (tRNA) molecules are approximately 80 nucleotides in length. Their secondary structure includes four short double-helical elements and three loops (D, anti-codon, and T loops). Further hydrogen bonds mediate the characteristic L-shaped molecular structure. tRNAs have two regions of fundamental functional importance: the anti-codon, which is responsible for specific mRNA codon recognition, and the 3' end, to which the tRNAs corresponding amino acid is attached (by aminoacyl-tRNA synthetases). tRNAs cope with the degeneracy of the genetic code in two manners: having more than one tRNA (with a specific anti-codon) for a particular amino acid; and 'wobble' base-pairing, i.e. permitting non-standard base-pairing at the 3rd anti-codon position. Lineage: Eukaryota; Metazoa; Chordata; Mammalia; Artiodactyla; Camelidae. The record is from Rfam by way of RNAcentral. RNAcentral also lists the same sequence under 1 other name.
GCAAGUAUAGCUGAGUGGUAGAGCGCAUACUUAGAAUGAAUGAGGUUCUGGAUUCAAUCCCCAGUUUCUCCA